GACGGGGCCCGCACAAGCGGUGGAGUAUGUGGUUUAAUUCGACGCAACGCGCAGAACCUUUACCUGGUCUUGACAUCCCGAGAAUUUCCUUGAAAGAGGGAAGUGCCUCGCAAGAGGAGCUUGGAGACAGGUGCUGCAUGGCUGUCGUCAGCUCGUGUCGUGAGAUGUUGGGUUAAGUCCCGCAACGAGCGCAACCCUUGUCUUUAGUUGCCGGCAUUCGGUUGGGCACUCUAGAGGGACUGCCGGCGACAAGUCGGAGGAAGGUGGGGAUGACGUCAAAUCAUCAUGCCCCUUAUGACCUGGGCUACACACGUGCUACAAUGGUUGGUACAACGAGUUGCGAGUCGGUGACGGCGAGCUAAUCUCUUAAAGCCAAUCUCAGUUCGGAUUGUAGGCUGCAACUCGCCUACAUGAAGUCGGAAUCGCUAGUAAUCGCGGAUCAGCACGCCGCGGUGAAUACGUUCCCGGGCCUU
RNAcentral lists this ribosomal RNA (473 nucleotides) under uncultured Smithella sp. Its description in RNAcentral is "bacterial SSU rRNA". It matches the Rfam family "Bacterial small subunit ribosomal RNA", at positions 916 to 1381 of the family's 1533-position model. The record is from RNAcentral. Lineage: Bacteria; Pseudomonadati; Thermodesulfobacteriota; Syntrophia; Syntrophales; Smithellaceae.